CGAUGCCUAAGACAUGCAAGUCGAACGAGACGACCUCUGAAGAUUGCGAGCUUGCUCAAAGUCGGAUUUGGAUUUCGUCUAGUGGCGCAAGGGUGAGUAACACGUGGGUAAUCUACCUUAGAGUCUGGAAUAACAGUUAGAAAUGAUUGCUAAUGCCGGAUGAUACAUAGAAUGAUACGUCUUUUUAUGUUAAAAGGGCCUUUAAAGCCUCGCUUUAAGAUGAGCCUGCGCUGUAUUAGCUUGUUGGUGGGGUAAUGGCCUACCAAGGCUACGAUGCAUAGCCGACCUGAGAGGGUGAUCGGCCACACUGGGACUGAGACACGGCCCAGACUCCUACGGGAGACAGCAGUUAGGAAUAUUCGUCAAUGGGGGAAACCCUGAACGAGCAAUGCCGCGUGAAGGGAAUGACGGUCCUAUGGAUUGUAAACUUCUGUUGUUAGGGAAGAACGACUAGAGUAGGAAAUGACUCUAGAGUGACGGUACCUUUCAAGAAAGCUCCGGCUAACUACGUGCCAGCCGCAGC
Molecule: ribosomal RNA, 523 nt
Filed under: uncultured bacterium
Lineage: Bacteria
Description: bacterial SSU rRNA
Rfam family: Bacterial small subunit ribosomal RNA
Source: RNAcentral